UUUAUGGAGAGUUUGAUCCUGGCUCAGGAUGAACGCUGGCGGCGUGCCUAAUACAUGCAAGUCGAGCGAACGGACGAGAAGCUUGCUUCUCUGAUGUUAGCGGCGGACGGGUGAGUAACACGUGGAUAACCUACCUAUAAGACUGGGAUAACUUCGGGAAACCGGAGCUAAUACCGGAUAAUAUUUUGAACCGCAUGGUUCAAAAGUGAAAGACGGUCUUGCUGUCACUUAUAGAUGGAUCCGCGCUGCAUUAGCUAGUUGGUAAGGUAACGGCUUACCAAGGCAACGAUGCAUAGCCGACCUGAGAGGGUGAUCGGCCACACUGGAACUGAGACACGGUCCAGACUCCUACGGGAGGCAGCAGUAGGGAAUCUUCCGCAAUGGGCGAAAGCCUGACGGAGCAACGCCGCGUGAGUGAUGAAGGUCUUCGGAUCGUAAAACUCUGUUAUUAGGGAAGAACAUAUGUGUAAGUAACUGUGCACAUCU
This 486-nucleotide ribosomal RNA is filed under the name Staphylococcus aureus. RNAcentral's name for it is "bacterial SSU rRNA". It matches the Rfam family "Bacterial small subunit ribosomal RNA", at positions 1 to 469 of the family's 1533-position model. The record is from RNAcentral. Lineage: Bacteria; Bacillati; Bacillota; Bacilli; Caryophanales; Staphylococcaceae.